GGAAGAGCUGGAAGGAUGUGUUCACUGAAAAUUCAGCCCACAGAUGUAAAAGUUUGUUCCUGCAUAUUGGCAUUUUAGAUCCAGAGUUUAUAUAUAGUAAAGAAUGAAUAGGGUAAGGCUUCACACCCAGCAUGAGCUCAACAUGGGGCCUGAACUCAUAACCCGGAGUUCAAGAACUAAGAUGAAAUCAAGAGUUGGAUGCUUAACCAAAUGAGCCCUCCAGGUACUUUUAAUAUUUUUAGUCUCUUUAUCUUUCCAUUGUGCAUUCUGG
Molecule: long non-coding RNA, 271 nt
Filed under: Mustela putorius furo (domestic ferret)
Lineage: Eukaryota; Metazoa; Chordata; Mammalia; Carnivora; Mustelidae
Description: lncRNA (ENSMPUG00000028395.1)
Source: RNAcentral